GUGUGUGGAUGAUGUGAUAACCAAUUUUACAGUUAUCCCUGGCUGAUGUUGCAGUGAUGAUAAAUUGAAAUCUGACACACACUGUUAGGUUCCUUACAUGUUAUAUAGUGUAGUUUAAAUUUGUGAUAUAUCUUAAGUGAUUAUAUUGUUUAGUUUCUGUCAUAAGGGACUUUAGUUAAAAUGUAAUGUUGAUUAGAUUUGUGUGCAAAGUGAUGUGGAUGAUGAGAUUACAAAUUUUACAGUUAUCCCUGGCUGAUAUAUCAGGUGAUGAAAUUUUGCAAUCUGACACACACUGUGAUGUUCCCUUAAAAGUUAUGUCAUAUGUUUUUAGAUUGGAUUAGGUUCCUCUCAAUGGGGAUUAUAUUACAGUGAUCCAGUGUUAUUUUUAGUACCUUUUAAGUUUAAUGUUUUUUUACAUAAGAUACAGUGCCGAUGUAUACUUUCUUAGUCACUGCUCAUUUUGUAUGAAUUUUUUUAGAUUAGAUUAUUUUCUGUCUAGUUAUAUCACUUUUUUCAGUUUGACCUCACUAGUUUGAGAUGCUGAAGUUUAUAUCUGUGCACACAUACAUAGCUGUGGAUGAUGAUAUUGCCAAUUUUACAGUUAUCCCUGGCUGAUAUAGCAGAUGCUGAAAAUUUGUAAUCUGACACCAAUUGUUAGGUUCCAUACAAGUUAUAGCUUAGUUUAAUCUGUGUGUUCAGUUUUUCUCACUAGAUUUUUCAAUUUAGAAGUUGAGUUGUUUAGAUCUGCUUGUCCACUGUUUGGAUGAUGAGAUUAUCAAUUUUACAGUCAUCCCUGGCUGAUAUUGCAGGUGCUGAAAAUAUGUGAUCUGACACACAG
Molecule: non-coding RNA, 838 nt
Organism: Lupinus albus (white lupine)
Lineage: Eukaryota; Viridiplantae; Streptophyta; Magnoliopsida; Fabales; Fabaceae
Source: the annotation of a GenBank genome assembly